UUUCUGUGACCCUUACCCUUUGGUGAUGUCACUUCCUCUCUGUUAGCGCGCCUUUGUUCAGAUGGUCUGUGAAUCUGAUAGGAACAGGGAUGGAACGGGAACAGAAAUAAACCAGCUGGCGUGCAACAAAGUGGUUUCCCACCGUCAUUCUCCACACACAGCGCAGAGGAGAGAGAGUUAGCCCAGACCCGCUACAUUUAGACUAAACAGACAGGAGACAAAUGGAGAAACAAGUUGAGCAGCAGUUCUCUCUGAGGAGCUGCAUCCUGACUGACGGGCUGCACAUAUCCAUCAAAGCCAGGACUGAAAGAGGGGAUUGUUUUUAGCAGCUGCAGAGUUAAAGCAGAGCUGCUGGAAGCUGGAAGUCCGUGGUGUUAUACAGCAGAGUGGAGAGCUGGAAACACCUUGGUCUGGAUCAUUGGGAACAUCUAGUCUGAUGGACUGAGAGCUACAGAGAACCUGAACAUCCAGCUGUGGUUGUCUGAAGAGUCUUCUCUCCUUCAUCACUGUGAGGAAGAGCAGUACUGAUGUCCUCCUCAUCCUUCCAGUAAUAAAAAUAAUGCUGCAGAUUCAGCUCCUCUCUUCAGAAUACAACUUGUAUUGUUACUGUUCAGUUUUUACACUUCACUGUCAGCAACACAUUAUGUAUUUCAUCC
This is a long non-coding RNA of Amphiprion ocellaris (clown anemonefish), 656 nucleotides long. The record is from Ensembl. NCBI's taxonomy places the organism in Eukaryota, Metazoa, Chordata, Actinopteri, Pomacentridae.